UGAGGAAUAUUGGUCAAUGGGCGCGAGCCUGAACCAGCCAAGUCGCGUGAGGGACGACGGUCCUACGGAUUGUAAACCUCUUUAGGCGGGGAGUAAUGUGCUCUACGAGUAGAGUAGUGAGAGUACCCGCAGAAUAAGCAUCGGCUAACUCCGCGCCAGCAGCCGCGGUAAUACGGAGGAUGCGAGCGUUAUCCGGAUUAAUUGGGUUUAAAGGGUGCGCAGGCUGUGCAUCAAGUCAGCGGUAAAAUCUCGGGGCUCAACCCCGUUUAGCCGUUGAAACUGGUGUGCUGGAGUGUGCGCGAGGAAGGCGGAAUGCGCGGUGUAGCGGUGAAAUGCAUAGAUAUUGCGCAGAACUCCGAUUGCGAAGGCAGCCUUCCAGUGCAUGACUGACGCUGAGGCACGAAAGCGUGGGUAUCGAACAGG
Molecule: ribosomal RNA, 423 nt
Filed under: Verrucomicrobiota bacterium
Lineage: Bacteria; Pseudomonadati; Verrucomicrobiota
Description: Verrucomicrobia bacterium partial 16S ribosomal RNA
Rfam family: Bacterial small subunit ribosomal RNA
Source: RNAcentral